CUGGACACCACCAACACAAUCCGGCAGGAAGCAGCAUUCACCGAGCUGUGCCGUUUGCGGAAGUUCUCGCCCAAGGCGGAGCAGAUCGUCUCCGCCA
This 97-nucleotide non-coding RNA is filed under the name Oxyrrhis marina. Lineage: Eukaryota; Dinophyceae; Oxyrrhinales; Oxyrrhinaceae. The record is from RNAcentral.